GACGGAGGGAGUACUAUAGAAGUGUACAGAAUUUGAUGGAACACUUGGUUCUAGGUCUUCCAAAGGAAGUAGCACUCGCUUCUGAUUUUCCAUUCUUCAGAACGCCUUGCCUAUGGAGAUGCAUCGAAUCCUUCAUCACACUGUAACAGCUCACAUGGUUUACCAAAGGCAUCUCUGUUCUUGUAGGCCAGCCUGGUUCACAAAAUUGACAUUAGUCUGAUAAUCAGCUAAAUGAUUUCUACCGAACAUGGGUAGUAUCCUGCCUAAUUUUUGUAAAAAAGAAAGAAGGAGCAGAGUCUAUCCUGAUGUUAACUCGUCAUUAUCAGUGUUGACAUUGCACACAGUUAUAAAUAAUCAAAGGCGAAUACCCAAAAACAGACAUAAAACGAAUGCGAGUAGGGACAUCACUAACUUGUUUUGGGGCGAGCAGGAUGGUUACAGGAGGCUUGAAGCUUCGAAUGACGCGCACAUUCGUGUACUCUUCCACGACCCUGCUUUACCCACUUAAUUAAGCAGGACCUACUUAAUGGAAGCACACUUUCAUGUCCUUUCUUGCUUUUACUGUCAUUUGCACGACCCAUGCCACUUGUUACUGUAUGUAGACCUACAAGCAGAAAACAAUAAAGCAUGCCUGUAAGUCAAGCCCGGCAUGGGAAUGAAGAUAUCAGAAUUCCAUUUAAAGGAUCAUCUUUAGAACAUAGACAAAAGGAAUAGAACUCAACAUGAAUUUCCCGGGAAUCAAAUUCGGAUAUCAAUCGUCGGUCAAGGAAUGAGAUCAAGUUCAUUCAGUAGUAGUGUACAAAAGCCCUGCAUAAACAUACAGGAACCUGACCAAAAACAGAAUCCCCAUAAAUACUAGAUAGGGUGAAUACAAUCUCAGCAUGGUUAAACCUUCUCAUUGAUCCGAGUCAUAAACUACAACAUAAACAUGACACUAGUUAGGCUUCGAAUUUGGCCACGGUCUUGCUCCUGCUCCUGGAUUAGAAAUUCACAGUUGCUGCUCCUGAUCCUCUACCAACCCAAAAAAACCAAGAGCAAUUUGGCAGUUGGCAGCUAACCAAGGGAGUGCUUAGCCAGGAACCAGUUCGGCUUGUAAGAAAACGUGGUUGAGAAUGAAUAGUUGAACUCGUAACUACUACACUUAUUGGUAAGAGUUAAAUAUGUUUGGCUGGUACAUAUCACUGAACUUCACGUCAUGUCUGUACAUAACCAAAAUGCCUCUACGAAAAAACGUGUGAGCACCAUCUGUUAGGAAUAAUCACGAUUAGGCAAAAACCAGUCCGGCACGGACUUGGAUUCUUUGCCGAGUCGGCUAGCUGCUAGAUAGGACAGCUACCAUUUAUACAUGCAUCUAGUCCCCUGUAAUCUCAGAUCAAAAAAUCAAUGAGUAUUGACGGGAACGACAAGCUCCCGUGGCCAUAACACGUUUUGUCUUCCGUGCUCGUAAGCGCUGGAAAAGCAUCCAACUACCAGUUUGUUUGUCUAGCUAGCUUACAUAGCGGUUCUCAACGGAAAGUAAAUCGCUGGGAACUACGCUCGACGAUCUCACCGAAAGUACUUCGCCCGAUCGUAAGCUACGCCUCGUCGGAAGUCUACGACGAGUUGAACCUGUGCCAACAAUUGGUAUCUAGAGCAAGGUUGAUCUUCUAGUAACAGAAGAUCAUGUCGAAGGACGACAAGGAUAAGCAGCUGGCGGCAUACUCCGGUGCGGCUAAAGUAUUUGCUGCUCCAGCGAGUUCGUCGUACCCACGAUUUGACCGCGAGAACUUCAGGGUCUGGAAGGCACUGAUGGAGUGUGGUCUCCGCGCCAAUGUGUUGUGGGACGCAGUCGAUCCAGGAGGCGACGCUUUCAAGAAGGGGGGAGCCGAGCACUGGAAGGAUCGGCAGGCGGCAUCGGCGAUUUACUCGGUGAUGUCGAUGGAUGUCCUCCAACACCUGAUCGCCAAAGAAACGGCGAAGGAGGUGUGGGAUACCUUGAAGCUCAUGUUCGAGGGACACGACCGCGUCAAGCAAGCCAAUCUCCAAACUCUCUUAAGGAACUAUGAGACUUUGGUCAUGGGCGACAAUGAGUCCGUGGACGCGUUCGCUUCACGCGUUGCUACUCUCGUCAAUCGGAUCCGCGCACUUGGAGAAAACCUCACGGAGGCCUCGGUUGUCCGUCGGUUCUUGCGCGCGGCUCCUCCCCGGUACCUGCAAAUUGUCACGGCGAUCGAGCAGUGCGUCGAUCUCGCGACACUCUCCAUUGAUGAUCUCGUCGGAUGCUACAAGGCUCACGACGAGCGUAUGCGGUAUAGUCUCGGGGACGGGAAGAAUGAUGAGCAUGUCAUGCUCACGCGGGCUCAGUGGCAAGCGUUGGACUCAAGGAAAGGAGGUGAGGGCUCAAGCAAAAACACUCGCCAAGAUCGUGCGCCAAACGAACAAAUUCAGAAGAACGCUAGUGACGGCGCUCCGAAGAAGAAAAAGAAGUUCGACAAGCGCAAGAUCAAGUGUCACAACUGUGGCAUAAUGGGGCACUUCAAAUCGGAGUGCAAGAAACCACCGAAGGAGAAAGCUUUCAUGGCCAAGGAAGGCGAUGAUGGCGACAUGAUGCUCAUGGUCGAAGUAUGCGAGCUAAUGGACGAGGAUAGUCUAACUCCUAAGGCGCCAGCUACGGAGGUUGUUACGCUCAUAGAGGAGGCAGUUUUUCUUCAUGACAAGAAGAGGAUGAACUCGGCGAGGCACGUGUGGUACCUCGACACGGGAGCUAGCAACCACAUGACCGGCGACAAGGACCAGUUUUCUGAGCUCAGACUUUCGGUGGGAGGCACGGUUCGGUUCGGCGAUGGACGGACCGUUGACAUCGCAGGGCGAGGUACUGUCCUGUUUGAGGUGAAGAAUGGCGGCCACAAGGUACUCACGGAUGUUUACUAUAUUCCCAAGCUAAAGAGUAGCAUCAUAAGUCUUGGCCAGCUCGAGGAGCGUGGUUGCAAGAUUGUGCUCGAAGAUGGCUAUCUAUGGGGGUAUGAUCGUCAGAGGAUGCUAAUUAUGAAGGUGCAGAGGUCACCGAACAGACUUUACAUCCUCAACUUGUCUCGUGUGGAUCCAGUAUGUCUCUUGUCGAGCAUGGAUGACUCGGCAUGGAAGUGGCACGCACGCUACGGACAUCUAAAUUUCCAGGCUCUUCGGCAACUUGGACAAAAAGAGAUGGUACGUGGUCUACCGUGCAUCGAACAUGUCGACCAAGUGUGCGACGGUUGUCUUAUUGGGAAACAAAGGAGGGCCCCGUUCCCAAGAGAGGGAAACUUUAGAGCGAGUAAAGUUCUUGAGUUGGUCCACCGAGAUUUGUGCGGGCCGAUUACACCGGCCACCCCUGCCGGAAAUAGAUAUUUCCUGCUCAUCGUCGACGACUUCAGCAGAUACAUGUGGAUUGUGUUGUUGAAGACGAAGGAUCAAGCUUUGGAAGCCUUCAGGAUAGUAAAGAUGGCGGCCGAAGUGGAAUCCGAAGCCAAGAUGAAGGCCCUCCGUACCGAUCGGGGGGGUGAGUUCAAGUCUUGUGAAUUCACAAGAUUCUGCGAAACACAGGGGAUCAAGCGGUAUCUUACGGCUCCAUAUUCACCACAGCAAAAUGGUGUUGUGGAGCGGAGGAACCAAACUGUGGUGGCGAUGGCACGGAGCAUGUUAAAGAGUAAAGGCAUGCCAGGGAAGUAUUGGGGUGAGGCGGUCAAUACGGCCGUUUAUUUGCUGAACCGGGCUCCAACCAAGAGUGUGGUUGGAAUGACGCCGUACGAAGCAUGGUACGGACACAAGCCCGCGGUUGAUCAUCUUCGUACUUUCGGGUGCGUGGCGCAUGUGAAGACAGUGGCGGGGCAUACUAGCAAAUUGGCGGAUCGGAGUACUCCAAUGAUAUUGGUUGGCUAUGAAGCGGGCACAAAGGCGUACCGUGCGUGCAACCCCUCGAACAACAAGGUGGUUGUGACGCGUGAUGUGGUCUUUGAAGAAGCGAGGUCAUGGAAUUGGAACUCCACCGAGCAAGUAUACCCGUCAUCAGAUGACAUUUUUAAUGUCGUUUACGACGAACCUGAACAUACAGAAGCUGACGAUCAACUGAAGAGGUCGUCGGGACAGAGCGAUCCUCCGAACGCAGGUGCUACUGAAAACACGCCAGCUAGGUCGGCCGUGUCGCUUGAGCCCGCGAUCAGCACGUCCUCUAGCGCUGCUGGGUCUACAUGCAGCCACCGAGGCAAGGGAGCCAUACAAGCUGCAGCCUGCAGCACGCCUGACAGCGUUCCCCGUAGCGCUGGUAGCCCAGGCCGUGGCACCUCUCCUGGAGGUUCACGUGAUGGUGGUAUGACCCAGAGUCCACCAAGCCACGUGCAUGGGGCUGAUGGUUCUCUUGUACGUGCACCAGUUUCACCUGGUUCACCUCGUGGAUGUGUAGCCAGCCCAGGGGUGCUCCAAUCGCCAGAAAUCAGAAGUGUGGCAACUUCAGCAGAAAAUUCUUUGUCUUUGACGAAAGAGGAGACGAGGGAACGUCCGCCAACACCAGUACGUCUGCGAUCAGUGGUGGAUUUAUAUCCGAAGGAAACAUUUCAAACCAUAAAUCCGGUGAAAAUUAAGAGAAGAGGACGACAAUGUUUGCUUAGUGUCGAGUAACCGACAAAGUUUGAAGAAGCAAACAUGGAGGAGUGUUGGCGUCGUGCUAUGGAUGAGGAGUUGGGGUCGAUCCGAGACAACAAAACAUGGGAGCUCGUGGAUCCUCCCAGCGGCCAUAAAAUUAUAGGGCUCAAGUGGGUGUACAAGGUCAAAAAGGAUGCCGAUGGAAAUCUUGUGAAAUACAAAGCAAGGCUCGUAGCUAAGUGAUACGUGCAAGAGCAAGGUGUGGAUUUCGAAGAAGUGUUUGCUCCAGUUACAAGGAUGGAAUCGGUGAGGCUAGUUAUAGCUCUUGCGGCUCAAGAAUCUUGGAGGCUACAUCACAUGGAUGUAAAAUCCGCGUUUUUGAACGGGGAGUUGGAAGAAGAAGUUUAUGUCAAGCAACCACCGGGGUACAUCAAAGAAGGAGAGGAACACAAGGUGCUGAAACUACACAAGGCAUUGUACGGGCUAUGUCAAGCUCCUCGGGCAUGGAACAACAAGCUUGACCGUACACUGGUUUCUCUUGGUUUUGAGAAAAGUCCACUCGAGCAUGCUAUGUAUAAGCGAGGCAAAGGCAAGGAUCGUCUCUUAGUGAGCAUCUAUGUCGACGAUCUUUUGAUAAGAUCGUGAGCUAAGAUGCAUAAAGAAAAUCAGGCACGAUACGUGCCUGUGGCAAUCAGCCGAGUUUUUUCUGCGCGUGAGUAGCUACUAUACGAGAUCAGUCCGUGCAUACUCGUACGUGUAUUCCGGCCGGCGGCAAGGAAGUAAUCAAGUCACGGCUGUUGUGUACGUACGUGUGAUCUUGGUGUCGCUUCCCAGAUGAUCGAGCAAGAGCAGACUAGCUAGUACAAGCUAGCUUUGCACUACAGUGUGUCGCGACGUAAAGAACUUCGUCGAGUUCAGCCAGUGGUUUGUCUUCGUCGUCGAUUGUCACCGUCGCUGGAAAGUACUCGGCGUCGGGUCUGGGCCAACAAUUGAUAACCGGAGCAGAUGAGGAGGAGAUUGCUAGAUUCAAGCUACAAAUGAAGGAGCUAUUCAAGAUGAGUGAUCUAGGGCUCUUGAGUUACUAUCUCGGGAUUGAGGUACAACAAAAGCCUGAGGGGAUCACACUAUGCCAGGAGGCAUAUGCAAAGAAGAUUCUUGAAAGUUGUGGCAUGGAGGACUGCAAACCAACUUUUGUUCCGAUGGAGCCUCGUCUUAAACUUAGCAAGAGAAGCAAAGCAUCCGUGGUUGAUGCAACGGAGUAUAGGAGUGUGGUCGGAAGCCUAAGGUAUCUUGUGAAUACACGACCAGACUUGGCCUAUUCCGUUGGCAUAGUGAGUCGCUUCAUGGAAGCACCCACGAAGGAACAUUGGGCAGCUGUGAAACAUAUACUCAGAUACAUCAAAGGGACAACAAACUUCGGUUGUGUCUAUUUGAGAGGGAAGAAGAAGGAGAUGGUGGAGCUACUUGGCUAUAGUGAUAGUGACCUGGCAGGAGAUGUGGAUGACCGCAAAAGUACCUCGGGAGUGGCAUAUUUCUUGGGCGGGAGCAUAGUGAGUUGGCUAUCACAAAAACAGAAGGUGGUCGCAUUAUCAUCCUGUGAAGCGGAGUAUAUUGCAGCUGCAACCGCGGCGUGUCAAGGUGUGUUUUUAGAAAGGCUACUCGGUGACCUCACACACAAGGAACCGAAAGGAAUGGUGCUCUAUGUUGACAACAAGUCUGCGAUUGCUCUAUGUAAGAAUCCAGUGCAUCAUGACAGGAGCAAACACAUUGAUACGAGGUAUCACUACAUACGGCAGUGCGUGGAAGAAGGCAAGAUUAAAGUCAACUACGUUUGCACCGAUGAUCAGCUUGCAGAUAUCCUGACCAAAUCUUUGGGACGACAGAAGUUCACGGAUUUGCGGGAAGGAUCGGCGUCCAAGCUGUAAAGUGAGGACAUCGUGCUUAGGGGGUGAUUGUUAGGAAUAAUCACGAUUAGGCAAAAACCAGUCCGGCACGGACUUGGAUUCUUUGCCGAGUCGGCUAGCUGCUAGAUAGGACAGCUACNNNNNNNNNNNNNNNNNNNNNNNNNNNNNNNNNNNNNNNNNNNNNNNNNNNNNNNNNNNNNNNNNNNNNNNNNNNNNNNNNNNNNNNNNNNNNNNNNNNNNNNNNNNNNNNNNNNNNNNNNNNNNNNNNNNNNNNNNNNNNNNUAGAUAGGACAGCUACUAUUUAUACAUGCAUCUAGUCCCCUGUAAUCUCAGAUCAAAAAAUCAAUGAGUAUUGACGGGAACGAUAAACUCCCGUGGCCAUAACACGUUUUGUCUUCCGUGCUCGUAAGCGCUGGAAAAGCAUCCAACUGCCAGUUUGUUUGUCUAGCUAGCUUACAUAGCGGUUCUUAACGGAAAGUAAAUCGCUGGGAACUACGCUCGACGAUCUCGCCGAAAGUACUUCGCCCGAUCGUAAGCUACGCCUCGUCGGAAGUCUACGACGAGUUGAACCUGUGCCAACACCAUCGCGGGGGAUACAGUUGCUCCAACUUGGGCCUGUGGUUUCCCUUGUCUACUGCUUCACUCAAUAGCUCGAACUACGGCAAUAUUGUGGUCUCCACUUCAUGGUACGUUGAAGCAUUAGCAAGGAGAUCCUUCAAGAUCGGUGAUGCAGCCACUUUUAGCUAAUGCUUGAGGCAGUGCUAGUCAACGCCACUUCCAUCGGAUUGCAGGAUUUAUUUUUUGGGUGUAUAUGCCGAGGGAGGGGAGCUGUGUUUGUUUUGUGUGGACACUUAAGACGAGCACAGGAAUUGCUUCUGGAUGGCUGAUGGAUGAAAACCAUGUUGAGUGGGGAAUCACGAGAUAAAUUAGCCAUCUGCAAUGGCGACAAGAAAAUAGAAGCCUACCUCCGUUCUUUUUUACUCCCUCCGUUCCUAAAUAUAAGUCUUUCUAGAGAUUACACUACGGACUACAUACGAAGCAAAAUGAGUGAAUCCACACUCUAAAGUAUGUUUAUAUAUAUCCGUAUGUAGUUCAUAGUGGAAUCUCUAAAAAGACUUAUAUUUAGGAACGGAGGGAGUAUAAGACAAUUUAGACAGCUGACCAUGAACUGUUUUGAGCGCUGUCUGAACUGUCUAAAACGUCUUGUAAAAGUGAACAGAGGGAGUACUUUGGGGGCGGGGAAUAACCUGAAUAAUUGAUAGACAAGCAAUGAAAGUACUAUUUUCUGAGUGGGUACUUGUUUUUGUUUGUGGACUCUUAAGACAAGCAUUGGAAAUGCUUCUGGAUGCUGUGAUGGAUGAAAAAUCUGUUGGAGUGGGAAACGACGAGAUAAACUACUCAACUGGCGAUAAGAAAAAAGUACCUACUGGCGGAUCAGAUCUGUAGACAAUAGCCAAGACAAAGAAUACUAUUUUGAGAGUGAAGAAUGACCUGAAUAAUAGAUAGAAGAGCGAUAAAAGUGCUUCUGGACCGGAGAUAGAAACGACCAAUGAAUAGAGCAAUGG
Molecule: long non-coding RNA, 8065 nt
Filed under: Hordeum vulgare
Lineage: Eukaryota; Viridiplantae; Streptophyta; Magnoliopsida; Poales; Poaceae
Description: long non-coding RNA (HVUL_LNC017220)
Source: RNAcentral